AAACAAGUAGUUUUGUUGAAAUUUAAGUCACUUCAAGCUCAUGAAAAUUAUAUACAUAGAAAGCAAUACAACCAUAAAAUCAGAAAAUCAUUGAUAAAUCAUUAAUAACCAAAAAAUCAUAGCUAUAGAACCAAGAAAACCGACAGAUAUACUAUCGGACAGCUGGAUCAUGUCUGUGUCAUAGCAACACAAACUCUAACUCCAACUCUCCAACAAAAAGAAUCAAUUUUUGCUCAGAUAUAAAUUCUAACGCCCGGGAGCCGGAUGUCAUAUCAAUUGGAUUUGCUGGGGAAGCAUAUCACUUUACAUUGAAGAGAAUAUAGACACAAUAUUCAAUAAAUUCAGUUUUUUCUAUGUUUCAAAUAAGAGAUCUCUAUGCCAAAUACAUCACAGACAGUGAUGCUGCUAGCUAUGUAUAGGAAUAAUUUUCUUUCAAAGUUUUACAUUUCGCAACAGAAAAUGUUGACUGUUAUGAAUGUAUUCGGAUGUAUAAAAUGAAGCAACUCAGUUGCAAGUAUAUUUUAUUUGAAAUUCAAUUAAAAAUUACCUACCUAUGGGAAAAGUUUUA
Long non-coding RNA from Episyrphus balteatus (marmalade hoverfly), 568 nucleotides. RefSeq lists it as uncharacterized. The transcript is spliced from 2 exons. Lineage: Eukaryota; Metazoa; Arthropoda; Insecta; Diptera; Syrphidae. The record is from RefSeq and is a predicted model, not a curated record.